AUUGAACGCUGGCGGCAGGCCUAACACAUGCAAGUCGAGCGGAUGAAGGGAGCUUGCUCCUGGAUUCAGCGGCGGACGGGUGAGUAAUGCCUAGGAAUCUGCCUGGUAGUGGGGGAUAACGUCCGGAAACGGGCGCUAAUACCGCAUACGUCCUGAGGGAGAAAGUGGGGGAUCUUCGGACCUCACGCUAUCAGAUGAGCCUAGGUCGGAUUAGCUAGUUGGUGGGGUAAAGGCCUACCAAGGCGACGAUCCGUAACUGGUUUGAGAGGAUGAUCAGUCACACUGGAACUGAGACACGGUCCAGACUCCUACGGGAGGCAGCAGUGGGGAAUAUUGGACAAUGGGCGAAAGCCUGAUCCAGCCAUGCCGCGUGUGUGAAGAAGGUCUUCGGAUUGUAAAGCACUUUAAGUUGGGAGGAAGGGCAGUAAGUUAAUACCUUGCUGUUUUGACGUUACCAACAGGAUAAGCACCGGCUAACUUCGUG
Molecule: ribosomal RNA, 484 nt
Filed under: uncultured bacterium
Lineage: Bacteria
Description: partial 16S ribosomal RNA
Rfam family: Bacterial small subunit ribosomal RNA
Source: RNAcentral